This 144-nucleotide microRNA precursor is filed under the name Tursiops truncatus (common bottlenose dolphin). Its description in RNAcentral is "miRNA (ENSTTRG00000023340.1)". The record is from RNAcentral. Lineage: Eukaryota; Metazoa; Chordata; Mammalia; Artiodactyla; Delphinidae.
AGGACCCACCGUUAAAUACAGAUUUCAGGUAAACAAGGAAUGGUAUUUUAGUAUGAGUAUGUCCCGUACGCUAUUUGGGACAUACUUAUGCUAAAAUUAUUUCCAUUGUUUAUCUGAAGUUCAAAUGUAACCAGAUGUUGUGUA